RNAcentral lists this ribosomal RNA (253 nucleotides) under uncultured bacterium. Its description in RNAcentral is "partial 16S ribosomal RNA". It matches the Rfam family "Bacterial small subunit ribosomal RNA", at positions 524 to 776 of the family's 1533-position model. The record is from RNAcentral.
UACGAAGGGGGCUAGCGUUGCUCGGAAUUACUGGGCGUAAAGCGCACGUAGGCGGAUUGUUGAGUCGGGGGUGAAAUCCUGGAGCUCAACUCCAGAACUGCCUUCGAAACUGGCGAUCUUGAGUCCGGGAGAGGUGAGUGGAACUGCGAGUGUAGAGGUGAAAUUCGUAGAUAUUCGCAAGAACACCAGUGGCGAAGGCGGCUCACUGGCCCGGUACUGACGCUGAGGUGCGAAAGCUAGGGGAGCAAACGGG